GUCCAAGUCUCCUGGAAAGGAGUAUCAAAGAGGGUGAUAAUCCCGUACUUAACACGACCACCGGUGCUCUGUGAUUACGUCUUCUACGAGUCGAGUUGUUUGGGAAUGCAGCUCAAAAUGGGUGGUGAAUUCCAUCUAAAGCUAAAUAUUGGCGAGAGACCGAUAGCGAACAAGUACCGUGAGGGAAAGAUGAAAAGCACUUUGGAAAGAGAGUUAAACAGUACGUGAAAUUGUUGAAAGGGAAACGAUUGAAGUCAGUCGUGUUCUUUGGAUUCAGCCAGUUCUGCUGGUCUACUUCCUUGGAACGGGUCAACAUCAGUUUUGUCCGGUGGAUAAAGGUAGUAGGAAUGUGACUUCUCCGGAAGUGUUAUAGCCUAUUAUCACAUACACUGGGUGAGACUGAGGACUGCAGCUCGCCUUUAUGGCCGGCCUUCGGGCACGUUCGAGCU
This 449-nucleotide ribosomal RNA is filed under the name Trichosporon asahii. Its description in RNAcentral is "eukaryotic LSU rRNA". It matches the Rfam family "Eukaryotic large subunit ribosomal RNA", at positions 179 to 617 of the family's 3401-position model. The record is from RNAcentral. Lineage: Eukaryota; Fungi; Basidiomycota; Tremellomycetes; Trichosporonales; Trichosporonaceae.